Molecule: ribosomal RNA, 277 nt
Filed under: uncultured soil bacterium
Lineage: Bacteria
Description: partial 16S ribosomal RNA
Rfam family: Bacterial small subunit ribosomal RNA
Source: RNAcentral
AGAUUGAACGCUGGCGGCAGGCCUAACACAUGCAAGUCGAGCGGUAGAGAGGUGCUUGCAUCUCUUGAGAGCGGCGGACGGGUGAGUAAUGCCUAGGAAUCUGCCUAGUGGGUGGGGGAUAACGUUCGGAAACGGACGCUAAUACCGCAUACGUCCUACGGGAGAAAGCGGGGGACCUUCGGGCCUCGCGCCAUUAGAUGAGCCUAGGUCGGAUUAGCUAGUUGGUGAGGUAAUGGCUCACCAAGGCGACGAUCCGUAACUGGUCUGAGAGGAUGAU